Molecule: ribosomal RNA, 899 nt
Filed under: uncultured bacterium
Lineage: Bacteria
Description: bacterial SSU rRNA
Rfam family: Bacterial small subunit ribosomal RNA
Source: RNAcentral
AGAGUUUGAUCCUGGCUCAGGAUGAACGCUAGCGGCAGGCUUAAUACAUGCAAGUCGAACGGAUAUAGCAAUAUAUUAGUGGCGCACGGGUGAGUAACGCGUACAUAACAUGCCUUGGACUGGGGAAUAGCCUUUGGAAACGAGGAGUAAUACCCCAUAGUAUUUGAGACUGGCAUCGGUAUCAAAUUAAAGCUACGGCGGUUCAAGAUUGAUGUGCGUUGGAUUAGGUAGUUGGUAAGGUAACGGCUUACCAAGCCUACGAUCCAUAGGGGGCGUGAGAGCGUGACCCCCCACACGGGUACUGAGACACGGACCCGACUCCUACGGGAGGCAGCAGUAGGGAAUAUUGGUCAAUGKAGGCAACUCUGAACCAGCCAUGCCGCGUGGAGGAAGAAGGCGCUCAGGGUCGUAAACUCCUUUUAUAUGGGACGAAAAUGGGGGAUUUAUCCUCAACUGACGGUACCAUAGGAAUAAGCACCGGCUAACUCCGUGCCAGCAGCCGCGGUAAUACGGAGGGUGCAAGCGUUAUCCGGAUUUACUGGGUUUAAAGGGUGCGUAGGCGGGAUUUUAAGUCAGUGGUGAAAGCUCGUUGCUUAACCAAGGAAUUGCCAUUGAAACUGAAGUUCUUGAGAUAAUUUGAGGUUGGCGGAAUGAGACAUGUAGCGGUGAAAUGCAUAGAUAUGUCUUAGAACACCGAUUUGCAAGGCAGCUGACUGGACUUUAUCUGACGCUGAGGCACGAAAGCGUGGGGAUCAAACAGGAUUAGAUACCCUGGUAGUCCACGCCCUAAACGAUGUUUACUUGCUGUUUGCCUUUCCGGGGUGAGUGGCGAAGCGAAAGCGAUAAGUAAGCCACCUGGGGAGUACGACCGCAAGGUUGAAACUCAAAGGAAUUGACGG